Molecule: ribosomal RNA, 231 nt
Filed under: uncultured bacterium
Lineage: Bacteria
Description: partial 16S ribosomal RNA
Rfam family: Bacterial small subunit ribosomal RNA
Source: RNAcentral
GAUCCUGGCUCAGGACGAACGCUGGCGGCGUGCCUAACACAUGCAAGUCGAACGAAGCACUGUGGAUAGAGACUUCGGUCAAUUGAAGCUUUGACUUAGUGGCGGACGGGUGAGUAACGCGUGAGGAACCUGCCUUUCAGAGGGGGACAACAGUUGGAAACGACUGCUAAUACCGCAUGAAGCAGCGAGAUCACAUGGUCUUGCUGCCAAAGAUUUAUCGCUGAAAGAUGG